This is a long non-coding RNA of Panthera uncia (snow leopard), 2213 nucleotides long. RefSeq lists it as uncharacterized. The transcript has 4 exons. NCBI's taxonomy places the organism in Eukaryota, Metazoa, Chordata, Mammalia, Carnivora, Felidae. The record is from RefSeq and is a predicted model, not a curated record.
UGUUGUUUCCUGCUUUGUCUUUGUUUCUUCCAAGCCCCUUUUCCUGCUUGUUUUGGUUACUGAAUUUCCCAUAGGAGCCUUCCCUGUCCAUUUAUAUUUUAAGAGUGAAUACUAAAAUGCUGAUUGGGCAUCUGUGUGACAAGGAAGGGGGCUUAACUUCCUUGUAGGGUUCCAGAAGAGAGCCUGCUUUUUUCCUGCUGGUGACACCUAAAUGUCAGUGCCUAUAGAUCUUUUCCGUGGGGAUGUUGGGUUUUCCUGGAGAAGAAUGUUGCCUGGGGGUUUAAUAGCCUGGUUGUCCUGCAUUCUGGGAGCCUUGAUGGCAAAGGAGGCUGGGUACCCUGUUUGGUAUGCAGACUUUCACUCCCUCUGUCCUUUUCUGAAGGUUGCCCCCUUCUCUGCCUUCCUCUCUCAGCUAUUCCCCUCCCUCAGCUGUGUCUGAAUCAGAGUCUCUCUUGUAGUUUGCCUAAACAGUGAAUCUCUACCUUUUUCCUGAGGGAGGGAAAUCAGACUGAGCAGAUUGCAGGCAGGGAGACCCUGGGCUGGAAUCGCUCCUUGAACAACUUUUAGCAGAGUCUCUUUUUAGCCCCUGUCCCCUCCCCUCUCAGUCCUUGGUGCCUCCAAUUCCUGAGGCUUCUCCUGUUUCUGUGGCAUUAGUCCCCUCUUGUUUAGUGGUUUCUUCCCCUGCUUGCACUUAGCAGAGCAGAAACCUGAAUCAGCUACUGCAUGGUGGUCAGCUCUCUGUCUUCCAGAGUUUUGUUGAUGUAUCUUGUCUGCUGUUGUUUCCUUUCCAUUAAAAAUCAAAUUUUUCUGGUGGGGUUCUGGGAGAGAGCAGGGAUAAAUAUGGGUGUUUUAAUCCUCUGAUUUGACCAGAAGUUUCAUCUCUUUAUCCAAGCCCUUAAACUGGUACCUGAUAUAUCGUAUAUUCCCAAGAAAUGUUUGUUAACUGAUUGAACACGCGUUUCUAAGAUGGUAUGGCUACUGUUAGUCGUAAGAUUUCAAGAGAGUCCCAAACAUACAAUCUUACAAAGAUAAAUCCGUUGUUUAUUCUGAGGUAGAUGUAGUAACUGGCAACAGAUCCUGCCAUUCUCCCUGUGCCGUGUAGGGUAGGGAGCGCCAUGAGACAGCGUUGUAGGCUUUUGGGCUAGAGAUCGACGAGACUCAGAUGCUGUCUCUAGGCUUAUCACUAAUGACCUGAGUCACCUUUAGAAGUCACUUAACCUGUCUGGGUCUUGGUUUCCCCAGCCUUAAAAUGGGCUAUCGGUCAAGAUUUGAUUCCAUUCACUGCGCUGAAUACCUGCUGUGUCAACGCAUGGUGCUAAGAUCCUUCCAGGUUGGACACAGAGAAUGUGUGUCUGUGCCCUGGUCCCGGAUGGUGUACAUCACCAGAUUCAUGGAGGACUCAGAAUUGGUUGUUAGGAAACUGUCUUCAAACCAACUAAUAGCUUUACACAGGAAAUAGGAAGCUGGGAUGGUGGUUCUCAGGUAAGUCCACUUGGGACUGACACGUAGAGUUGACUGUGUGCCUGGCACUGCACCCAGCGUCUUUACAUUAAGAACCACUAAAGCAGUGGUUCUUAAACUUUGGGGAGCAUCAGAAUUCACCUGGGGUACUUGCUAAAAAUACAUAGUACUCCAUGGUGGGGCCCAAGGAUUUGAAUUUUUUAAUUUAUUUUAUUUGAGAGAGCAAGAGUGGGGGAAGGGGCAGAGGGAGAAGGGAGAGAGGGAGAGACAGAGAGAGAGAGAGAGAGAGAGAGGGAGAGAGAAUGGGAGAGAGAACCUUAAGCAGGCUCCACACUCAGCACAGAGCCCGAUGCAGGGCCUGACACCAUGACCCUGGGAUCAUGACCUGAACUGAAGUCAAGUCAGACGCUCAACUGACUGAGCCACCCAGGUGUCCCCCAAGGAUUUGAAUUUUUAACAUAUUCUCUAGGUUAUGCAAGUUAUAUCCAGAUGAUGUCAGCUGCAAAUAACAAACUCCAGCCCAGAUUGGCUAACUGGCAAAACUUGUUUCUCAAACAGGAGGGAUGCAUUUUAAAACUGCAAGGCCCAUCAGUCCUGUGGGCCACAAUGUGGGCCAUGCCCCCUGGAGUUGGCAGUGGGAUGAUUCUGAAUCUCAAGAUAGGGUGGGUUUGGGGGCAGUCGCUUCAGUAGCUCAGUGACGUCAGCAAGGCCCCCGGUUUCUUCCCAUCUCUGCUAUCUUUGGUGGUUGGCUU